RNAcentral lists this ribosomal RNA (468 nucleotides) under uncultured bacterium. Its description in RNAcentral is "partial 16S ribosomal RNA". It matches the Rfam family "Bacterial small subunit ribosomal RNA", at positions 28 to 507 of the family's 1533-position model. The record is from RNAcentral.
GACGAACGCUGGCGGCGUGCUUAACACAUGCAAGUCGAACGGCAAGGCCCUGCCAUCGCGGGGUGCUCGAGUGGCGAACGGGUGAGUAUCACGUGAGUAACCCGCCCUUGACUUUGGGAUGACUUGAGGAAACUGGGGCUAAUACCGGCGAGGAGCGCCUGAUGCAUGGUGGGGGUUGGACAGUUGCGGCGGGUGUGGAUGGACUGGCGGGUAAUCAGCUUGUUGGUGGGGUAGUGGCUUACCAAGGCUUUGACGGGUAGCCGGCACGGGAGGGUGGCCGGCCACAUUGGUACUGCGGUACGGCGCAGACUCGUACGGGGGGCAGCAGGGGGGAAUAUUGCACAGUGGGCGGAAGUGUGAGGAGACAGCGCCGGGUGCGGGAUGACGGCUUUCGGGGUGAAAACCGCUUGCGCCUGUGACGAAGCGUGAGUGACGGUAAUGGGUAAAGAAGCACCGGCUAACUACGUG